CUGCGUUAGACCAAGGAGGGUUGGUGGUCUUUACGGGGGACCGUUACCUGCCAGGGUCCAAAACCCUAAAACAGG
This 75-nucleotide transfer RNA is filed under the name Maribacter cobaltidurans. RNAcentral's name for it is "tRNA-Arg". Lineage: Bacteria; Pseudomonadati; Bacteroidota; Flavobacteriia; Flavobacteriales; Flavobacteriaceae. The record is from RNAcentral.